UCAUAUGCUUGUCUCAAAGAUUAAGCCAUGCAUGUCUAAGUACAUGCCUAAGCAAGGUGAAACCGCGAAUGGCUCAUUAAAUCAGUUAUGGUUCCUUAGAUCGUACCUUUUUACUUGGAUAACUGUGGUAAUUCUAGAGCUAAUACAUGCAGCAGAGCUCCGACCUUCGGGGACGAGCGCUUUUAUUAGACCAAGACCAAUCGGGCUUCGGUCCGAACCUCCUGGUGACUCUGGAUAACUUUGAGCAGAUCGCACGGUCUCGUACCGGCGACGCAUCUUUCAAGUGUCUGCCUUAUCAACUGUCGAUGGUAGGUUAUGCGCCUACCAUGGUCGUAACGGGUAACGGGGAAUCAGGGUUCGAUUCCGGAGAGGGAGCCUGAGAAACGGCUACCACAUCCAAGGAAGGCAGCAGGCGCGCAAAUUACCCACUCCCGGCACGGGGAGGUAGUGACGAAAAAUAACAAUACGGGACUCUAUUGAGGCCUCGUAAUUGGAAUGAGUACACUCUAAAUCCUUUAACGAGGAUCUAUUGGAGGGCAAGUCUGGUGAGCUGCUAGUUGGAUCUCAGUUCCAGACGGGUGGUCCACCGCCCGGUGGCUACUGCCCGGCCUGAACAAUCUCGCCGGUUUUCCUUGAUUCUCUUCACCGAGUGUCUUGGGUGACCGGCACGUUUACUUUGAAAAAAUUAGAGUGCUUAAAGCAGGCGUAACGCCAGAAUAAUGGUGCAUGGAAUAAUGGAAUAGGACCUCGGUUCUAUUUUGUUGGUUUUCGGAACACGAGGUAAUGAUUAAGAGGGACAGACGGGGGCAUUCGUAUUGCGACGCUAGAGGUGAAAUUCUUGGACCGUCGCAAGACGAACUACUGCGAAAGCAUUUGCCAAGAAUGUUUUCAUUAAUCAAGAACGAAAGUUAGAGGUUCGAAGGCGAUCAGAUACCGCCCUAGUUCUAACCAUAAACGAUGCCAACCAGCGAUCCGCCUGAGUUCCUCAACUGACUCGGCGGGCAGCUUCCGGGAAACCAAAGUGUUUGGGUUCCGGGGGAAGUAUGGUUGCAAAGCUGAAACUUAAAGGAAUUGACGGAAGGGCACCACCAGGAGUGGAGCCUGCGGCUUAAUUUGACUCAACACGGGAAAACUUACCCGGCCCGGACACUGGAAGGAUUGACAGAUUAAGAGCUCUUUCUUGAUUCAGUGGGUGGUGGUGCAUGGCCGUUCUUAGUUGGUGGAGCGAUUUGUCUGGUUAAUUCCGAUAACGAACGAGACUCUAGCCUACUAAAUAGGGGACCGAUCACUGAAGUCGGUCCGUCUUCUUAGAGGGACAAGCGGCGUUUAGCCGCACGAGACAGAGCAAUAACAGGUCUGUGAUGCCCUUAGAUGUCCGGGGCCGCACGCGCGCUACACUGAAGGAAUCAGCGUGCUCAUCGCUGUCCGGAAGGACUGCGUAACCCCAUCAACCUCCUUCGUGAUGGGGAUAGGGGCUUGUAAUUGUUCCCCUUGAACGAGGAAUUCCCAGUAAGCACGAGUCAUAAGCUCGUGUUGAUUACGUCCCUGCCCUUUGUACACACCGCCCGUCGCUACUACCGAUUGAAUGAUUUAGUGAGGUCUUCGGACUGGCGCUCGGAGCGGCCAUCGUGUUGCGCCGGCGUGCCGGAAAGAUGACCAAACUUGAU
RNAcentral lists this ribosomal RNA (1667 nucleotides) under Uropygi sp. MCZ IZ-124696. RNAcentral's name for it is "SSU rRNA". It matches the Rfam family "Eukaryotic small subunit ribosomal RNA". Lineage: Eukaryota; Metazoa; Arthropoda; Arachnida; Uropygi. The record is from RNAcentral.